CCUACGGGAGGCAGCAGUGGGGAAUUUUGCGCAAUGGGGGCAACCCUGACGCAGCAACGCCGCGUGAGUGAUGAAGGCCUUCGGGUCGUAAAGCUCUGUCAGAGGGGAAGAAAUGCAGGUGGUGAACAACCAUUCUGUUUGACGGUACCCUCAAAGGAAGCACCGGCUAACUCCGUGCCAGCAGCCGCGGUAAUACGGAGGGUGCAAGCGUUGCUCGGAAUCACUGGGUGUAAAGCGCGAGUAGGCGGUUAAUUAAGUCAGAGGUAAAAGCCCACGGCUCAACCGUGGAAGUGCAUCUGAAACUGGUUAGCUAGAGUGUGAGAGAGGGAUGCGGAAUUCCCGGUGUAGCGGUAAAAUGCGUAGAUAUCGGGAGGAACACCAGUGGCGAGGGCGGCACCCGGGCUCAUAACUGACGCUGAGUCGCGAAAGCGGGGG
RNAcentral lists this ribosomal RNA (435 nucleotides) under uncultured bacterium. RNAcentral's name for it is "partial 16S ribosomal RNA". It matches the Rfam family "Bacterial small subunit ribosomal RNA", at positions 338 to 765 of the family's 1533-position model. The record is from RNAcentral.